CUAAACAUGCUCGCAUCUAGUUCAAACGGGAGUGUGUACGUGUGUGUACAGAUGCAUAGUACUCAAGGCAUGCAAGGCGUAGGACUACAUGCACUAUGCGAUGUGUAUGUAAUGUAUUUGAAUUCAGAGUAAAAAAGCCGUUGCAUCAAGUAUCAUCCUGAAUACUCUCGUUUUCUCCUGCAAAUUUACAGUAUGGGCAUCCUUUUUUAACAUCUUUCGUCAAAGAAGUGGAUUCAAAGCACAUUGUGGCCUCGGUAUAUUGAUGUGAAACCAUGCAGAAAAUGCUACUCUCUCUCAACCUUGUGGAUGUUCCCUACUUCCCUAAGGAUCAGCAGCCUCUUGAAACAGUUGAAGCCAUUAUCGAAUUCCUUGCGUCUAUGUUUUCUGGAUCUGAAAGCAAAGCAUAAUGCCAGAGAUUCCACCCAAAAGCUAACCCAUGAGUCCAAGCUGAAGAGGAAUAUUUCCAAAUCGAUGGCUCCACUAAUCCGAUUGAAUUCCUUGCGUCUAUGUUCCCUGGAUCUGAAAGCAGUGCAUAAUGCCAGAGAUUCCACCCAAAAGCUAACCCAUGAGUCCAAGCUGAAGAGGAAUAUGUCCAAAAUUACAUGUAGAUCUACACUCACCCGAUAGUUAAACUGCUAGAAAAAAGGGUUUUUUUUCACUUCAUUAUAAUUUAUAGAGAGAGAUUGGGGGAGGGGGAGAGGUGAGGUGUAGCCACAAACCUGAAUGGCUAAGCUGUGGAACUGAAAUUCCCAUUCAUGUCACUUACAAUUUUAAUGAAUUACAGGGUGUACGAACUGACAUAAUAACAGUUUGAGUAAAAGAUUCCAGUAUUUUGCAUAUAUUUGUAAUUACUAUUUAUGAGGUUGACCUGUUUCAUAAUGCUUAAAUGUAGUAGACUUGAUAUGCUCAGUCUCAUGCUCACCCCCACCCCCCAUCCGCUUCUUAUCAGUUCUUAAAACCUGUUGCAAAUUAUAUAUAAGUUGGUAAUAGAGAAAAAUUGAGUGAGUUAAAUACAAUACAAAUCGAUUCCAUUAUUAAGCAACUAAGACUUGUUCAGAUACGGAACGUGAACCGCCAACAAUUUUCGAAAAUGAUGCAGUUUGGUUUUAUGUGUAAAGCGAAUGGCAACAAGUCUUUGUAUGUUUUGGACUGCGCAUAUUCAGUGAGCUCUUUUUUAAAAAUAAUAUACAGAAAUGUAAAGCAUAUUGAACUCUAUGUCAACAUUAAAAAAACUCUGAGAUUUUGUUUUGCAGCAUCAUAUCUGAACGAGCCUUAAAGGGACUUGGUAACAUUGUUCAUAUGAGAGAAAAUGAUGCUAAGUUAUUGACUUCAAUGCUAUACUGUAUGUACACUUAAAGAUAAUCUGAACAUUUGAGUUAAAAAUAGACCACUAUUGAUGAUUAAAAUUGGUGAUCUAAUCCAUUCCUUAAUUCUCCCAACUAUAUUUUUAUAAUUUGAUUAAAUUGAAGUGAGUGUAAAUCAUCACAAAGCAACGAAUUAGCUCCAAUACCUUUUCCAAAUUUAGGCGUUGAAAGAUUUUUAAAGGCCUGUUUUAUAUCUUAUUUUCAUGGAAAAACGGUUGGGGAAAAUUGAAAAUUUUGUUGGGAGAAUUAACUGUUAAAGAGUGACACACAGUAGCGCCUUCAAUGAAAACCAUAAAUACCUUGUGGUUUGAAAAAAAAUUGGUAGUUAAAAGUAUAAAAUUCUUGGAUUGUAUCUGUGAUUUUGAAAGCACAAUAUGGCUUACCUACAUGUAUAUUGAAUUUGCUGUUAAAAUUUAAGUUAAAUUUUAAUUCUUUUGUGAAACUCCUGGGACUUGCCAAAUGAAUGUUGUGACAUUAGCAAUGGAAUAUAUCUCUUUGUGCUAAACUUUUUCAGCAUGUUUGCUAUUUUAUCUUAAACUGGGAAAUAUCUUCUGAAUAAUUAUUCCACCGUCACCUUGGAAUUGCCCAACUGAGCCAAUCGUACUGGCGGGAAUGUUAUCUGAUAUAAAUUGUAUUUUAUACUUGAACUUCAGCUUCUGUAUUUGCAACAAAACUAAUUUUUUGAUAUUUAUAAAGAUGAAUGUUGCCACUAAUGCCUUUUCUUAUAUUUAAGUCAUGUGCCCGUAAGAAGCAGGUUUCUAGCACAGAGAAUAGGUACAGUUGAGCUGAUUUCUGCACAGUUUUCUAAUAUGCUGUAUCGCCAAAUGUGAACAUCAUGGUUUUGACGGGCAAGCAACCAUCAUCAGAAAACUCUGCAGGUAUCAGUGAAGCUCUCCCUGUUCCCCUUGCUGCCAACUUGUUCCUUUUGAGUGUAAGAAAUAACUUAGCUAAGCCAUGUGUUUAUCAUUUGUGCCAUUUUUCUCCUGUGUGUGAUUUAGAUUGUAUAGUUUUAUACUUUAUACUGAAUUCUUGCCAUGAACUUAGAUAUUCCCCUUGUAUGUAACAAGAAUUGAUCUUUCAUGCUCAGAAAUUCUUUCCAACAACCUUUUGUUUUAUGUGAUAGUCUUUAUCUGCAUUAAAGUCUUGGGGUUGUCAGGAGCAGUUUUGCAGCAUGGAGACGAGGUAGAGCUGCACUGAUGAAUGCCUAGCUUUCCACUAUGCUGUUUUGCUGAAUAUGAGGAACUUCCCCAGUGUGCUGUUUGCUUGUCUACUAAAAUACUGCGGGUAUCAGUAUAGCUUUACCUAGUCUCUAUGCUGCUAACCUGCUUCCCACAACCGUAAGACUUAUAAGUUUAGCCAAUAUGUCAUAGUUUCUUGUAGCACAAUUUAUAACGAAACAGAUAUCUUUGUGAUGGCCUGUUAACUUUCUUAAAAUAAAUUAUGAGACUGACAGAAAUACACUAGGUAUUUAUACAGCAUGUUUUGGAAGAAGUGUCAGGAUAGUGAUGAAAAGAUUUUGUACCAAUGGAAAACAAAGUUAGAUAGAAUAAGAAGGUAUAGAAAUACGUAUUUUAUAUUUUUGUUAUCCAUUUUCAUACCAUAUACGUGUACAUUAAAAAUAUGAAAAUUA
Molecule: long non-coding RNA, 2994 nt
Filed under: Strongylocentrotus purpuratus (purple sea urchin)
Lineage: Eukaryota; Metazoa; Echinodermata; Echinoidea; Camarodonta; Strongylocentrotidae
Description: uncharacterized LOC115928009
Source: RNAcentral